Long non-coding RNA from Bufo bufo (common toad), 152 nucleotides. RefSeq lists it as uncharacterized. Lineage: Eukaryota; Metazoa; Chordata; Amphibia; Anura; Bufonidae. The record is from RefSeq and is a predicted model, not a curated record. The transcript has 3 exons.
UAUUCUUGUACAUCGGUGAGGGGAGGAGAGUGAGCAUAAUACUUAUAUUCUUGUACAUUGGAGGCAGUAUUAUAAUAGUUAUAUUCUUUUACAAGGAGCAGUAUUAUAGUAGUUAUAUUUUUAUACAUAGAGGCAGUAUUAUAGUAGUUAUA